UUGUUGGCUCAAGGAACCCCCACAACACUCUGAAGGCCCUCUUCAAAGCUCUGAACGCAAUCGAGACUCCGAAAGAUAUUCAAGAAAAGUUCGGACGGACUGUUGUCGAGAAGUACUUGCUAUGAUACGAGGUUUUGUUUUUCCUUCCUUUCCAUACUUUCUCGGGUCGAGUCUGUUCUUUUUGUUGAUUCUAACUCGAAAACGUAUUGAUAUUGGUUUUGAAUGAGAUGUACAAAAUGGAAUUUUGGUAUUUAACUUAAGAAAUCAUGGAUGGUUGUAACUUCUGUUAAACUUUUGAUCAUCUUUUUCUUUUCCUUC
Cucurbita pepo subsp. pepo (vegetable marrow) is the source of this 318-nucleotide non-coding RNA. The record is from RefSeq and is a predicted model, not a curated record. NCBI's taxonomy places the organism in Eukaryota, Viridiplantae, Streptophyta, Magnoliopsida, Cucurbitales, Cucurbitaceae.